CCCCACAAGCCACUCAAUCUGACCCGACACGCAGGGAUGCAAGGCACAGAUGAGGCUCUGAAACUCUUCUGCAUAGCAUCACAUGAGGUACACUGGGAAAAUUGCUUCACUGACGCAGCUUGGACUCAGCCUGCAAAAGUUACUCUGUAUGUGGAGGACUCUCUAUGACACAGAGAUGAAGCAUGGAGGAGGCAGGAGCAGCACAGAAACAGAAAGGAAAAUCUCAGGAAGAGUCAUCUGAAAAGCAGGAGAAGGUGGCUUGAGUUAGGAAGCAAGGAUAUCCUGCUCCCAAAGCAUGCAGAGCAGCAGCAACCAAGAAGGGUGGGAGCUCUGAUGGUGGCUGGUAGAGGGGAAAGAAGAUGAUGAGGAGAAACCAGUGGGGUCUGAAACAUCUUAGAGCCAUGUCAUAAAACUGAAAAAAUUAUAGUAAUCUAAAUAAUGUGUAAAAAAUCCAGCCA
Long non-coding RNA from Gallus gallus (chicken), 458 nucleotides. RefSeq lists it as uncharacterized. The record is from RefSeq and is a predicted model, not a curated record. The transcript is spliced from 2 exons. Lineage: Eukaryota; Metazoa; Chordata; Aves; Galliformes; Phasianidae.